RNAcentral lists this ribosomal RNA (402 nucleotides) under Bacteroidota bacterium. Its description in RNAcentral is "Bacteroidetes bacterium partial 16S ribosomal RNA". It matches the Rfam family "Bacterial small subunit ribosomal RNA", at positions 355 to 776 of the family's 1533-position model. Lineage: Bacteria; Pseudomonadati; Bacteroidota. The record is from RNAcentral.
UGGGGAAUUUUGCACAAUGGGGGAAACCCUGAUGCAGCGACGCCGCGUGAUUUAGAAGGCCUUCGGGUUGUAAAAAUCUUUUCUAUGGGAAGAAAAUGACAGUACCAUAGGAAUAAGGACCGGCUAAUUACGUGCCAGCAGCCGCGGUAAUACGUAAGGUCCGAGCGUUGUCCGGAAUCAUUGGGCGUAAAGGGUACGUAGGCGGGUAAGCAAGUUAGAAGUGAAAUCCUGUAGCUCAACUACAGUAAGCUUUUAAAACUGCUCAUCUUGAGAUAUGGAAGGGAAAGUGGAAUUCCUAGUGUAGCGGUGAAGUGCGCAGAUAUUAGGAGGAAUACCGGUGGCGAAGGCGACUUUCUGGCCAUAAUCUGACGCUGAGGUACGAAAGCGUGGGUAGCAAACAGG